RNAcentral lists this ribosomal RNA (253 nucleotides) under uncultured bacterium. Its description in RNAcentral is "partial 16S ribosomal RNA". It matches the Rfam family "Bacterial small subunit ribosomal RNA", at positions 524 to 776 of the family's 1533-position model. The record is from RNAcentral.
UACAGAGGUCUCGAGCGUUGUUCGGAUUCAUUGGGCGUAAAGGGUGCGUAGGUGGCGCCGUAAGUCGGGUGUGAAAUUUCGGAGCUUAACUCCGAAACUGCAUUCGAUACUGCGGUGCUUGAGGACUGGAGAGGAGACUGGAAUUCAUGGUGUAGCAGUGAAAUGCGUAGAGAUCAUGAGGAAGACCAGUGGCGAAGGCGGGUCACUGGGGGUUUUCUGACGCUGAGGAACGAAAGCCAGGGUAGCGAACGGG